This 22-nucleotide microRNA is filed under the name Xenopus laevis (African clawed frog). RNAcentral describes it as "xla-miR-192-3p". Its record names the gene xla-miR-192-3p. The record is from miRBase by way of RNAcentral. Lineage: Eukaryota; Metazoa; Chordata; Amphibia; Anura; Pipidae.
CUGUCAAUUCUGUAGGCCACAG